UACAGAGGUCUCAAGCGUUGUUCGGAUUCAUUGGGCGUAAAGGGUGCGUAGGUGGCGCGCUAAGUCAGGUGUGAAAUUUCGGAGCUCAACUCCGAAACUGCAUUUGAUACUGGCGUGCUUGAGGACUGGAGAGGAGACUGGAAUUUACGGUGUAGCAGUGAAAUGCGUAGAUAUCGAGAGGAACACCUGCGGCGAAGGCGGGUUGCUGGGCUGAUGACUGACGCUGGAGGCGCGAAAGCCAGGGGAGCGAACGGGG
This 256-nucleotide ribosomal RNA is filed under the name uncultured bacterium. Its description in RNAcentral is "partial 16S ribosomal RNA". It matches the Rfam family "Bacterial small subunit ribosomal RNA", at positions 524 to 777 of the family's 1533-position model. The record is from RNAcentral.